UGGAGUUCUCCCCAACUGAAAAGGAAAAGAAGAGGAUGUCAAUUGUUUUCUAUAGAUUUUUCAACAAGUAGAAGCCUGGUGCACACAGCUGUUGCAAUGAAAGCUCUGCAAGAGAACUAGAUAAGCAAAUUGGGAAUUAUGGUAUAGCCUUGGCCAUCGGGGCCUUCAGUAUGUGCACCCUAAUCUGCGAAAAAGAAUUUCCUACUCUGCUGAAGAGCAAGGUUGAUACCUCCUUACUUGCUAUACCAUUCACCACUUCAAUCACAAUGGCUUACAGUUAGACAUCUUCAACAGCAUUAAAAAAAGCAAGUGUAAUGGAGCUUGCAGCAGGAAGACCUCUGGAAGAUUGAAGUAUUGAGGAUAAAGUCAAUGAAAUAAAGCUUACCUUCUACCUUCAUGAAAAUAUAAUUUAAUCAUUUCCUGUUGUCUGAAAUAGCACGCUAGCAAGAAAUCAGAUAUGGAAGAUCUGAACUGGUGCUCCUUCACUUCUUGAUGCAGGAUCUCUCCGCAAGUGCUGCAUGUGAGUCUUCCCCUUAAAACUUGGAGCACUGCAUAAAUUCUGCUGGUCCAGAGGCUCAGACUGCAAAAGGUAGGACAGCUAUUUUCAUUGGAAAGUUUAAGUGUUCUCUGAAGUUUUUAUGUGCUGCCUGUUGUUGCCAUUUUUAAAAACUCUUAUAAAUCUUUUAAUUAGAGCUCUUUGAGAUCACACGUGCUGAGGGAACAGCAUGGAGUUGCACUGAGGAGGGUCAGGCUGGGUGAGAGGACAGUAUUCUGCCCAGAGGGCAAUGGGCAUGGAACACACUGCCCAGGGCGAUGGGCACAGCCCUGAGCUGCCAGGUCUCAAGAAGUGUUUGGACAAUGUUCUCAGUUAUAAGGUUUGAAUUUUGGGUGGUCCUGUGUGGAGACAGGAGUCGGACUUGAUCUUUGAAGGUCUGUUCCAACUCAGGAUGUUCUUUUCUGUGAUUAUGACUGUAAGAUAAUUCCAGGUAAUCAGUAUUCUAACACAGUAAAUAUACUGCUUGUGAUUAUCUUUGAUAAGGAUGAUAGUUAAGGUUUUUCCAUAACUGUCUUAGGACUGUAGCACCUCUUCUAUGAAGACAGGCUAAAGGAGCUGGACUUGAUCAGUCUGGAGGAGGCUGCAUGGAGACAUCAUUAUAGCUUUCCAAUAUUUAAAGGGAAUUUAUAAACAAGAGGGAAAUCAACUUUUUACAUUGGUAGAUAGAGAUAGGACAAGGGGGAAUGGUUUUAAACUAAAGGGAAGAUGCAUUAGAUUUCAAGGGGCAGUUUUUCACUGAGAGGGUGGUGAGGUGCUGGCACAGGCUGCCCAG
Non-coding RNA from Phasianus colchicus (ring-necked pheasant), 1328 nucleotides. Lineage: Eukaryota; Metazoa; Chordata; Aves; Galliformes; Phasianidae. The record is from RefSeq and is a predicted model, not a curated record.